This 534-nucleotide long non-coding RNA is filed under the name Nicotiana benthamiana. RNAcentral describes it as "long non-coding RNA (NBEN_LNC008801)". Lineage: Eukaryota; Viridiplantae; Streptophyta; Magnoliopsida; Solanales; Solanaceae. The record is from RNAcentral.
AGCACAAGAACAAAUACAAGAAAUCAACUAUGGCACAUUGUUAACAUAGAUCCACAACAAGGGCAAUGAAAUUCCACAACUAGCAACAACAAUUUCCUCAUGCUCAUCAGAUUGGUGCACAAUUUAGAUCAUUACAAUAGUUAUUCACAACUAGUCACACAUGUUGUUCCACAAUAUUUCCAUUUCCAUUGUUCCACAUUAUUACCAUUUCUGUUGUUCCACAUUGUUUCCAAUUCCAUUGUUCCACAUUAUUCCCAUUUUCCGUUGUUCCAAUUACGAGUUCCAAAACAACCACCACAAAGUGUUACCACACAAUUAUACCACGCAAAUGCUCCACAAUGAUUCUCACAUGAAUGUCAACUAUCAAUAAUUUCACAACUGGCAUAGGGCGAUUUCACAAGAAUCAAAGUUAGCCAUACAUACCUGGAGUUGAGUUUUCCCCUUUAAACCUUUAGUCCGAUUUUCCAAGAAAUCAAGAAGUCAAUAUAGUUCAUGAGCAACACUUCGGUUUUAGAAAUAUAAGCUCAUAGUUAC